CACACGUCUUCUUACUUCUUAAUUUUCAAUUACCAACUGCUACGAACGAAUUAUAAAAUUGUUUUUCAAAUUUGAACAUAAUGAUUUUCGUGGUGAAAUUCAAAAGCAACAAAACGAAGUUUCCCAGAACUAAGAAAAUCUCAUAUUUUCCCGGAAAAUGUUUACGAUUGUAAAAUUCCCCCAAUUUCAAUAACCCUCAAACAUAUAUAAAUCUAUACCCUCACUCACAAAAUUUACCUCAAUCGAUUCUCUUUCUCUUAAUCAAUCCUCCAAUGGCCGCAAUUCAGCGCUUCUUACUUCCGCUUGCCCUAAUUUCUCUUCUCCUUUUCUCUGAAUCUCUCGCAGCCAUCUCCUCUACCGAUCAUGGCCAGAAUUCUAAUCGGCGAGGGGACAAGGGUUCCGACACCUCCUUGGCCGGAAAGAUCAUUAGUAAAAGAGGAGUUCGGUCCGGCGUAACUGCAGGUCGUUCGACUUCGUCGUCGUCCGCCCAAAUGUCGUCGUCGUUCUUUAAUGUCGGCUCUUUGAUUUGUUUCAACAUAGCGUUUGUGUUUGCGAUGUUCUUGUGAAUUUUUGACUCUUAUACGAUGCUCCAUUCAAUUCAUUUAAUUUUUGUUACACAAACUUAAAGCUCGUUGGGAUCAAAUUGCAAAAACAAUCGAUCGUGUUCAUGCAAAUUGUUUGUUUGAUUUGAGCCGUUCAAUUUUAUAUAUAGUAUUAAUAGGUCGAUUUGAUUUAGCAUUUGAUUCACAAAUCAAAAACCAAACUGCACCAAAAGAAUUCAUAUCCAUGGCUGAUCUUAUAUGGUUGUGAAUGGAUUAUACAAAUUUGAACGAAAAAAGAAAAAAGCUUCAAAUUCAAACCCUUCUAAUAUUAGUCUCCUCCUUUUUAUGUUUCUCCUUUCCUUCUUCUUUCAAUGGAUUUCCCAUUCCCGUUCUCAUUCCCUCAUAAAUUCAUAUCCAUGGCUGAUCCUAAACCCCUCCAUGUUCUCUUAAUAAUGGCGCCUCUUCUUCUUCUUCUGGCCUCACAACUCAACUCGAUCUUCGCUCAAACAGAUUCACCAACUCCUCCCAAUCUUCCCCAACAAACAAUCAACAAAGAACGCCUCCCUUCCUCCGAUCCACAUCUUUCUCCACCUCUUAGCAACCAAAGAGCAGCUCGAAACAAUACCAAAGCGCAUCGUCGUGAUCAACUCGCCGAUACUAGACUCUCUCUCAAACGCUUGAGAUCUAAUCGUGAUUCGAUUCGGAAACGUCGAAGACGCAAUCACCUACGUGCUUGGCAUCGCAGCUAUUCCUCCCGUGGUUGUCUUCCGACGGUUUCUUUGUUGUACAUUUGGUUCGGAAUUCUUUGGUCCAUUUCUGCAUAAUCUAGUUUGUUUUAACUCACAUCGAUGAUGAAGAAAUCUAGGGGUAAUGUUUUUUUCUCUUUUCACUGCCAUUGUAUGCAAAAGGUUUUGUUGAUUCAAUUUUGAUAAUGAAGAGGAUAUGGGGAUUUGUUUGGUCUGAUCAUGAACUUUGUUUUUUGUUUGCUAUAAAGGUUUUUUGUGUUGUAGUGGGAAAAUAAAUGGAAUAGAAUUUUGAUUUGGGGAACAAUAUGAGAGGAAAGGAAUUAUAUUCUUUUUAUCAUCUGAUCAAAGCAAUAUUUUCCCAUCUCUUCUUCUUCUUCUUCUUUAAUUCAAACACACCUUUUCCUUUUUCCUUCUCCAAUAUCUCUUCAAGAACCUUAUCACUUUCGAAUCAUAUUAAAAGCACAAAUUUUUUUCUUUUUUUAUUUUUUUCUCCUAUUUUUACUUCAUUUUUAAAUGGAAAAUAUAUAUAUUCUAACUCAUGAAAUAAUAAAAAUCAAAUUUAGGAGUAAUAUCAAUCUAUACUUAUAAAUUUCGAGAGGAUUUAUCUAUUUAGAUCAUGGAAUGUAUCGAUUUAUACUAUGGACUUUUGUAAUCGUAUCAAUGUACACUCUCUCUUACGUUUCAUUUGAAAAAAUAUAUGUGAAAUUUAGAAUUGUAUCAAUUAAACACUAUCUUUCUUUAAAUAAAUAAAUCCUCAACUUUCAUAAAUGAAUUUAUUUCGACUCUUCGACACAAUUUGUUUUGAAAUCUAUUCAUAUAUUUACUUUAACCAUGCAUUUUGCAAAGUUAAUAUUUAAAGUAGUCUAGAUAAUUUUUAAAAGUAAUUAUAAUAAAGAGUUUUAAAUUAAUUAACUUAUUAAAACUUAAGGAGUUGAAUAUAUUUAAACUAUAAUUUUUAUACAAUUUUGGCCAAAUGUAUUUUCAAGGAGUUUAAAUAAAAAUGAUUUUUAAAAGCCCUUGUCAACAAUUUGUUGCUAUCUUCUUCCUUUCUCUAUUGGGUUAUUAUACAAAAGCACUUUCUAUCCUAAGUUUCUGUCCAUCAUCAUUAUCUCUCCGCAUCAGUUUACUUUAGGUUUCAGGUUGUGUCUACACACAUUUUCAUUUUUUGUUUUACAUAACUAUUAUGUAAUGUUCUUUACUUAAUACUUAAUACAUAAAAAGAUUCAAAAGCUAGAUACCUUUUUAAAAUUAGAAAAAAAAAAAAAAAAAAACGUACACUAAGAUUAGAUAAAUUGCUUAUUUUACUUGAAAUUAGACAGAUGUUAUAUUCUAAUAAUAUCAUGUCGGUGAUACUCUAUUCCUAGAAUUUAUGAAUAAUGCAAUCCUUAAGAUGAAAAGUCAUAGUCUAUUAUAUUCUAACUUAAUUGGUACACUUGAUUAAAAGUUCUAAAUGCUCAUAUACGACUCGUUUACCUUUGAAGAAGAACUUACAAGAAAAGGAGUCCAUUUUAAGCCACACAUCAAAUUUCCUAAGAAGAAGUAUGUUUAGAAUUCUUUUAUGAAUUUUCCUAAAAAAAAAGAACAUUAUUUUGAGUAUACAUUCCAACCCAUAUAUGUCUCUAUAAGCUAUAUACACUUUAUAGGGGCUACUGUUGGCUCUUUCUAGUGUUUAAAAACAGAAGUUUCAGCCCUUCGUUUACUCAUUGAAGAAAGAUUGAAUUUGAAUAUCAAAACCAAUCCACAUGAAGAAAGGGCUAUUGAUUUUGUUCCUCUUCUCCAUUCUCUGCCUCUAUCUUCUUCCAUUUUGCCUAUGCGAAACCAAUUUCACUACCAAAGCUGAUGAUCAUAAUAAGCAGCUGAAGCAGGGGAGGCCCAGAAAAGGAUCCACAGAUUUACAGGGCAGUGAAGAAUUACAUGGUGGAGCAGCUGUGGCGACGGUUAUGCGAGCAAAAGCAGUUUACGGCGGUGCGAACGACAUUCACCACGGCCGCUCCAAGAAUGAUGCUAACUCUUUACGGAUCAAAUCAAUUUCUUCGUUGGUGUGGAAAGUUUCAUUUGGAUUCCUUGGUUUCUGUCUUAUUGUCAAAGGUUUUUAAGCACCAGAAGCUCUGUUGUAGGGUUUCAGCAGAGCAGUUGUAAGUGUCAUGGUUAUGCAAUGGCUUAUUAUAAACCUUGUUUAUAGCCAAAUGUUAAUUUUGGAAAACUUGAUUUUGAAGCUUCAUAACGCUUCAUUCUCUACACUCUUUUCCUUUGUAGACCAGAAUCUUGUUCUUCCAAGUCUGUUUCCCAAGGUUCCAAGUUAGUAAUUUGUAAUUUCAUUUUGUCUUUUGAAUCAGAAAUAAAUUGGUUUUAGCA
Molecule: long non-coding RNA, 3643 nt
Organism: Cucumis melo (muskmelon)
Lineage: Eukaryota; Viridiplantae; Streptophyta; Magnoliopsida; Cucurbitales; Cucurbitaceae
Exons: 2
Source: RefSeq, a predicted model, not a curated record